CCUACGGGCGGCAGCAGUCGAGAAUCAUUCACAAUGGGGGAAACCCUGAUGGUGCGACGCCGCGUGGGGGAAUGAGGGUCUUCGGAUUGUAAACCCCUGUCAUGUGGGAGCAAAUUAAAAAGAUAGUACCACAAGAGGAAGAGACGGCUAACUCUGUGCCAGCAGCCGCGGUAAUACAGAGGUCUCAAGCGUUGUUCGGAAUCACUGGGCGUAACGCGUGCGUAGGCUGUUUCGUAAGUCGUGUGUGAAAGGCGCGGGCUCAAGCCGCGGACGGCACAUGAUACUGCGAAACUAGAGUAAUGGAGGGGGAAGCGGAAGUCUCGGUGUAGCAGUGAAAUGCGUAGAUAUCGAGAGGAACACUCGUGGCGAAGGCGGGUUCCUGGACAUUAACUGACGCUGAGGCACGAAGGCCAGGGGAGCGAAAGGGAUUAGAUACCCGUGUAGUC
This 446-nucleotide ribosomal RNA is filed under the name uncultured bacterium. Its description in RNAcentral is "partial 16S ribosomal RNA". It matches the Rfam family "Bacterial small subunit ribosomal RNA", at positions 338 to 795 of the family's 1533-position model. The record is from RNAcentral.